UACGUAGGGUGCGAGCGUUAAUCGGAAUUACUGGGCGUAAAGCGUGCGUAGGCGGUCCCGCAAGUCCGCUGUGAAAGCCCCGAGCUUAACUUGGGAACUGCAGUGGAAACUAUGGGACUUGAAUCCGGCAGAGGGGGGUGGAAUGCCACGUGUAGCAGUGAAAUGCGUAGAGAUGUGGCGGAACACCGAUGGCGAAGGCAGCCCCCUGGGCCAGCACUGACGCUCAUGCACGAAAGCGUGGGGAGCAAACAGG
This 253-nucleotide ribosomal RNA is filed under the name uncultured bacterium. RNAcentral's name for it is "partial 16S ribosomal RNA". It matches the Rfam family "Bacterial small subunit ribosomal RNA", at positions 524 to 776 of the family's 1533-position model. The record is from RNAcentral.